UACCGAGGUCUCAAGCGUUGUUCGGAUUCAUUGGGCGUAAAGGGUGCGUAGGCGGCGCGGUAAGUCGGGUGUGAAAUCUCGGAGCUUAACUCCGAAGCUGCAUUCGAUACUGCCGUGCUUGAGGACUGGAGAGGAGACUGGAAUUUGCGGUGUAGCGGUGAAAUGCGUAGAUAUCGUAAGGAAGACCAGUGGCGAAGGCGGGUCUCUGGACAGUUCCUGACGCUGAGGCACGAAGGUCAGGGGAGCAAACGGG
This 253-nucleotide ribosomal RNA is filed under the name uncultured bacterium. RNAcentral describes it as "partial 16S ribosomal RNA". It matches the Rfam family "Bacterial small subunit ribosomal RNA", at positions 524 to 776 of the family's 1533-position model. The record is from RNAcentral.